This 451-nucleotide long non-coding RNA is filed under the name Fukomys damarensis (Damara mole-rat). Its description in RNAcentral is "lncRNA (ENSFDAG00000028295.1)". Lineage: Eukaryota; Metazoa; Chordata; Mammalia; Rodentia; Bathyergidae. The record is from RNAcentral.
UUCGAUGCUGCACUAUAUAGACAGUUCAAUAGUCUCAUACUCUCACUCUUAGAAUCCUCCCAGUUCUGUUACAGUUCCUGAUUGCAUAACUUUAUUCCUUAUUUCUUUAAUUUUCACAUCAACAGAAUUGCUGAUACAUAUUACAGAGUAUAGAAAAAAAAAACUACAGAUAUCAUGAUCAUACCCAGCAUAAUGUACAAGCAAGCCGUGAAUGUUAAACUAUGGGGACCCCCGGAAGAACGAGUCCACUGUACCUACAUGGGGGAUUCUUGGCUUAUCUGCAGCGUGAUAUACUGGACUACUUUGGAUCACACAGAAAUAUGAACCACCUACUUUAUGUAUCUUGUGACCACUAAUACCUCGUUGACCCAGCUCAUUUUGAGCUUAUUCUUUUAAGGUAAAUAUAUAUAUAUAUAUAUUUUUUUUUUCCCUAAAAUAUGAUCUCUCCAAU